This 576-nucleotide ribosomal RNA is filed under the name Colletotrichum gloeosporioides. Its description in RNAcentral is "eukaryotic LSU rRNA". The stretch from base 204 to 357 matches the Rfam family "5.8S ribosomal RNA". Lineage: Eukaryota; Fungi; Ascomycota; Sordariomycetes; Glomerellales; Glomerellaceae. The record is from RNAcentral.
UUCCGUAGGUGAACCUGCGGAGGGAUCAUUACUGAGUUUACGCUCUACAACCCUUUGUGAACAUACCUACAACUGUUGCUUCGGCGGGUAGGGUCUCCGCGACCCUCCCGGCCUCCCGCCUCCGGGCGGGUCGGCGCCCGCCGGAGGAUAACCAAACUCUGAUUUAACGACGUUUCUUCUGAGUGGUACAAGCAAAUAAUCAAAACUUUUAACAACGGAUCUCUUGGUUCUGGCAUCGAUGAAGAACGCAGCGAAAUGCGAUAAGUAAUGUGAAUUGCAGAAUUCAGUGAAUCAUCGAAUCUUUGAACGCACAUUGCGCCCGCCAGCAUUCUGGCGGGCAUGCCUGUUCGAGCGUCAUUUCAACCCUCAAGCUCUGCUUGGUGUUGGGGCCCUACAGCCGAUGUAGGCCCUCAAAGGUAGUGGCGGACCCUCCCGGAGCCUCCUUUGCGUAGUAACUUUACGUCUCGCACUGGGAUCCGGAGGGACUCUUGCCGUAAAACCCCCCAAUUUUCCAAAGGUUGACCUCGGAUCAGGUAGGAAUACCCGCUGAACUUAAGCAUAUCAAUAAGCGGAGGA